Molecule: ribosomal RNA, 550 nt
Filed under: uncultured bacterium
Lineage: Bacteria
Description: partial 16S ribosomal RNA
Rfam family: Bacterial small subunit ribosomal RNA
Source: RNAcentral
UGGGGAAUUUUGGACAAUGGGCGAAAGCCUGAUCCAGCAAUGCCGCGUGAGUGAUGAAGGCCUUCGGGUUGUAAAGCUCUGUCUUUUGGGACGAUAAUGACGGUACCAAAGGAGGAAGCCACGGCUAACUACGUGCCAGCAGCCGCGGUAAUACGUAGGUGGCAAGCGUUGUCCGGAUUUACUGGGCGUAAAGGAUGCGUAGGCGGAUUUUUAAGUGAGAUGUGAAAUACCCGGGCUUAACUUGGGUGCUGCAUUUCAAACUGGGAAUCUAGAGUGCGGGAGAGGAGAAUGGAAUUCCUAGUGUAGCGGUGAAAUGCGUAGAGAUUAGGAAGAACACCAGUGGCGAAGGCGAUUCUCUGGACCGUAACUGACGCUGAGGCAUGAAAGCGUGGGUAGCAAACAGGAUUAGAUACCCUGGUAGUCCACGCCGUAAACGAUGAGUACUAGGUGUAGGAGGUAUCGACCCCUUCUGUGCCGCAGUUAACACAAUCAAGUACUCCGCCUGGGAAGUACGAUCGCAAGAUUAAAACUCAAAGGAAUUGACGGGGUC